RNAcentral lists this ribosomal RNA (899 nucleotides) under Fusarium graminearum. RNAcentral's name for it is "LSU rRNA". It matches the Rfam family "Eukaryotic large subunit ribosomal RNA", at positions 38 to 965 of the family's 3401-position model. Lineage: Eukaryota; Fungi; Ascomycota; Sordariomycetes; Hypocreales; Nectriaceae. The record is from RNAcentral.
GCAUAUCAAUAAGCGGAGGAAAAGAAACCAACAGGGAUUGCCCUAGUAACGGCGAGUGAAGCGGCAACAGCUCAAAUUUGAAAUCUGGCUUUCGGGCCCGAGUUGUAAUUUGUAGAGGAUGAUUUUGAUGCGGUGCCUUCCGAGUUCCCUGGAACGGGACGCCAUAGAGGGUGAGAGCCCCGUCUGGUUGGAUGCCAAAUCUCUGUAAAUCUCCUUCGACGAGUCGAGUAGUUUGGGAAUGCUGCUCUAAAUGGGAGGUAUAUGUCUUCUAAAGCUAAAUACCGGCCAGAGACCGAUAGCGCACAAGUAGAGUGAUCGAAAGAUGAAAAGCACUUUGAAAAGAGAGUUAAAAAGUACGUGAAAUUGUUGAAAGGGAAGCGUUUAUGACCAGACUUGGGCUUGGUUAAUCAUCUGGGGUUCUCUCCAGUGCACUUUUCCAGUCCAGGCCAGCAUCAGUUUUCGCCGGGGGAUAAAGGCUUCGGGAAUGUGGCUCCCCUCGGGGAGUGUUAUAGCCCGUUGUGUAAUACCCUGGUGGGGACUGAGGUUCGCGCUUCUGCAAGGAUGCUGGCGUAAUGGUCAUCAACGACCCGUCUUGAAACACGGACCAAGGAGUCGUCUUCGUAUGCGAGUGUUCGGGUGUCAAACCCCUACGCGUAAUGAAAGUGAACGCAGGUGAGAGCUUCGGCGCAUCAUCGACCGAUCCUGAUGUUCUCGGAUGGAUUUGAGUAAGAGCAUACGGGGCCGGACCCGAAAGAAGGUGAACUAUGCCUGUGUAGGGUGAAGCCAGAGGAAACUCUGGUGGAGGCUCGCAGCGGUUCUGACGUGCAAAUCGAUCGUCAAACAUGGGCAUGGGGGGCGAAAGACUAAUCGAACCUUCUAGUAGCUGGGUUUCCGCCGAG